GCUGUCCGAGUUGUAAUCUGGAGAAGCGUUUUCUGUGUUAGACCGUGUACAAGUCUCCUGGAACGGAGCGUCAUAGAGGGUGAGAAUCCCGUCCAUGACACGGACUGCUAAUACUUUGUGAUACGCUCUCGAAGAGUCGAGUUGUUUGGGAAUGCAGCUCAAAAUGGGUGGUAAAUUCCAUCUAAAGCUAAAUACAGGCGAGAGACCGAUAGCGAACAAGUACCGUGAGGGAAAGAUGAAAAGCACUUUGGAAAGAGAGUUAAACAGUACGUGAAAUUGUUGAAAGGGAAACGCUUGAAGUCAGUCGCGUUGUGCAGAACUCAGCCUUGCCUCGGUUUGGUGUACUUUCUGCACAACGGGUCAACAUCAAUUUUGGCCCAUGGAGAAAGGUGGAGG
This 396-nucleotide ribosomal RNA is filed under the name Fomitiporia neotropica. Its description in RNAcentral is "partial large subunit ribosomal RNA". It matches the Rfam family "Eukaryotic large subunit ribosomal RNA", at positions 133 to 531 of the family's 3401-position model. Lineage: Eukaryota; Fungi; Basidiomycota; Agaricomycetes; Hymenochaetales; Hymenochaetaceae. The record is from RNAcentral.